RNAcentral lists this ribosomal RNA (441 nucleotides) under Triticum aestivum (bread wheat). RNAcentral describes it as "partial small subunit ribosomal RNA". The record is from RNAcentral. Lineage: Eukaryota; Viridiplantae; Streptophyta; Magnoliopsida; Poales; Poaceae.
AUGAGGCACUUGUAUGCAAAUUUUAUGAAGAAAUUCCAUGGUAAAGUGUACACAGAUAAUCUUUAUCCAGCUGCACGGUCUUUCUCACAUCGAAAUUUUAUGCAUCAUAUGAAGAAAAUCCAGGAUGCAAAUCCAGCGGCUAUUGAAUAUCUAGAUAUUCAUCACAAUAGGUUGUGGUAUAGAUGUGGUUUUGGAGAGGCCAGUAAGGUUGAUUAUUUGACAAACAACAUAUCCGAGAGUUUCAACAAGCAAAUAAAAGACUUCAAAGGGCUCAAUGUCCUGAACCUUUUUGACAAAAUUAGGGAGAUCAUCACAGAGAAGUUCUAUAUUAGAGGACAAGUAAGUAAGCAGCUAAAGGGUAGGAUUCUUCCUCAUGUCAUUAAGCAGCUAAAAUGCUCUCAGCAAAACCAUUGGUCGAAACAAGAUUCUUUGGACCAGUGA